UCCCUACGGGGUGCAGCAGGCGCGAAAACUUUACAAUGCGGGAAACCGUGAUAAGGGAAUCUCGAGUGCCAGCAUAUAAUGUUGGCUGUCCAGAUGCCUAAAAAGCAUCUGUUAGCAAGGGCCGGGCAAGACCGGUGCCAGCCGCCGCGGUAACACCGGCGGCCCGAGUGGUAACCGCUAUUAUUGGGUCUAAAGGGUCUGUAGCCGGCCAGGUAAGUCCCUUGGGAAAUCUGGCAGCUCAACUGUCAGGCUGCUAGGGGAUACUGUUUGGCUUGGGACCGGGAGAGGUGAGAGGUACCUUGGGGGUAGGGGUGAAAUCUUGUGAUCCUCGGGGGACCACCAGUGGCGAAGGCGUCUCACCAGAACGGGUCCGACGGUAAGGGACGAAAGCUAGGGGCACGGACCGGAUUAGAUACCCGGCCUAGUCCUAGCCGUAAACGAUGCUCGCUAGGUGUCAGUCACGGUGCGACCGUGAUUGGUGCCGUAGGGAA
Molecule: ribosomal RNA, 491 nt
Filed under: uncultured archaeon
Lineage: Archaea
Description: bacterial SSU rRNA
Rfam family: Archaeal small subunit ribosomal RNA
Source: RNAcentral